This 253-nucleotide ribosomal RNA is filed under the name uncultured bacterium. RNAcentral describes it as "partial 16S ribosomal RNA". It matches the Rfam family "Bacterial small subunit ribosomal RNA", at positions 524 to 776 of the family's 1533-position model. The record is from RNAcentral.
UACAGAGGUCUCAAGCGUUGUUCGGAUUCAUUGGGCGUAAAGGGUGUGUAGGUGGCGCUGUAAGUCGGGUGUGAAAUUUCGGAGCUUAACUCCGAAAUUGCAUUCGAUACUGCGGUGCUUGAGGACUGGAGAGGAGACUGGAAUUCACGGUGUAGCAGUGAAAUGCGUAGAUAUGCGGAGGAACACCGAUGGCGAAGGCAAUCCCCUGGGCCUGCACUGACGCUCAUGCACGAAAGCGUGGGGAGCAAACAGG